GUUGAGUGGCAGCGGGCAGAGUUUGAACCCGGGACCACCAAUAAGUCCGAACGACAGUCCAGCGCGCAAACC
Molecule: non-coding RNA, 72 nt
Organism: Biomphalaria pfeifferi
Lineage: Eukaryota; Metazoa; Mollusca; Gastropoda; Planorbidae
Source: the annotation of a GenBank genome assembly